This is a ribosomal RNA of 1391 nucleotides. It matches the Rfam family "Microsporidia small subunit ribosomal RNA".
CACCAGAUUGAUUCUGUCUGGUAUGUGUGCUAGCGUCAAAGAUUUAGCCAUGCAUGCUUUUCGAACCCUCGUGGGGAGAGGCGGAUAGCUCAGUAAUACAGUUACAACAUAAGCUGCGUGUGUGGAUAACCUUGUUAAGAUAAGGCUAAGACUUAGCGUGUCGCACUUUUGUGAAGAAAGGCGACUUGAGCAGCAUUGGUUUCUGACCUAUCAGUUAGUAUGUUCUGUAAGGGAGAACAUAGACUAUGACGGGUAACGGGGGAUGCACGUCUGAUACCGGAGAGGAAGCCUUAGAGACAGCUUUCACGUCCAAGGAUGGCAGCAGGCGCGAAACUUACCCAAUUGUUUUUUGUGACAGAGGUAGUUAUGACGUAUUCUUUAGAGAGAGACCUUGUUAGACAUGGUCCAUAGCGACUGGAGGGCAAGUCUGGUGCCAGCAGCCGCGGUAAUUCCAGCUCCAGUAGUGCAUAUACAUGCUGUAGUUAGAAAGUUUGUAGCCUAUUUAUGGAUUGUUUUAGACAAAAGGACGACUCAAAUUGACCUUUCAUUUGACUAAUGCAUGAAUGUAGAAGCGAUUGAAGGCGAUUGUAUUCACCAGCCAGAGGUAAAAUUUGAUGACCUGGUGAGGACACACGGAGGCGAAAGCGAUUGCCUAGAGCGUAUUCAGUGGUCAAGAACGUAAGCCGGAGGAUCAAAGAUGAUUAGAUACCGUUGUAGUUCCGGCCGUAAAUUAUGCCAACUUGUGCUUCUGCUUCUGCGGAGGCGCAUAGAGAAAUCAAGAGUUUAUGGGCUCUAGGGAUAGUAAUCCGGCAACGGACAAACUUAAAGAAAUUGGCGGAAGGACACCACAAGGAGUGGAUUAUGCGGCUUAAUUUGACUCAACGCGGGACAACUCACCAGAGCCUAUGUGCAGGAGACAGUGAGCUUUGAGAGCGGACUGGAUAGUACUUUGAGUGGUGCAUGGCCGUUUGCAACACGUGAGGUGACUUGUCAGGUUUACUCCGGUAACGUGUGAUGUGCUGUAUGCAAGUAUUUUUGUGAGACUGCAGGCGGUAAGCCUGAUGAAGCGGCGCUAUAACAGGUCAGUGAUGCCCUUGGAUGUUCUGGGCUGCACGCGUAAUACAGUGGGUGCUGUAGAUAUAUAUAGGUGGAAAAGGGCCCGAGACUGGGAUCAUGCUUUGUAAGAAGGAUGUGAACGUGGAAUUCCUAGUAAUCGCUGCUCACUAAGUAGCGAUGAAUGAGUCCCUGUUCUUUGCACACACCGCCCGUCGCUAUCUGAGAUGGAUGUUUUUAUGAAGAUGCUGCUGUUAGAGGCAUUUGAGUAAGGACGACUAGAUUAGAUAUAAGUCGUAACAAGGCAGCGGUAGAAGAAUCUGCCGCUAGAUCAUACU